This 156-nucleotide ribosomal RNA is filed under the name ascomycete sp. HK-S216. RNAcentral's name for it is "5.8S ribosomal RNA". It matches the Rfam family "5.8S ribosomal RNA". Rfam says of the family: 5.8S ribosomal RNA (5.8S rRNA) is a component of the large subunit of the eukaryotic ribosome. It is transcribed by RNA polymerase I as part of the 45S precursor that also contains 18S and 28S rRNA. The record is from RNAcentral. RNAcentral also lists the same sequence under 4 other names. Lineage: Eukaryota; Fungi; Ascomycota.
AACUUUUAACAAUGGAUCUCUUGGUUCUGGCAUCGAUGAAGAACGCAGCGAAAUGCGAUAAGUAGUGUGAAUUGCAGAAUUCAGUGAAUCAUCGAAUCUUUGAACGCACAUUGCGCCCCUCGGUAUUCCGUGGGGCAUGCCUGUUCGAGCGUCAUU